GAAAAAACAUGGAAAAAUCGUUCACUCUCAUUCACAUGGUUGCCACCGCCGUUUCUUGCUGGUACGGAUUCAUGUUCGGCAGAGAAUCAGCUCGUAAAGAACUUGGAGACUUGAUCGAAAGUCUUCGCCGUGAUAAUUCAAACUCCUCUUCUUCGUCAUCUCCUCCGCACUCUUGAUCGCUAUAUUGAAUCCUCGGGGCCAAGGAGCUGUGACUGAACAACUUUUCUCAAGGCUUGGGACUUGGCACAACUUUAAGGAGGUAUAUCAGAAACGGGGUUCAGAAUGCUCCUCGGAGACCUCUCCGACUGUAUUUCAUGUCUUGUGGGUUCUCUCUAGACAAUUUUUGUAAUGUUUUGAUAUAUUUGGUUCAUUUUAUCAAACCUUUCUACUAUGGGUGA
Long non-coding RNA from Hibiscus syriacus, 398 nucleotides. RefSeq lists it as uncharacterized. Lineage: Eukaryota; Viridiplantae; Streptophyta; Magnoliopsida; Malvales; Malvaceae. The transcript has 3 exons. The record is from RefSeq and is a predicted model, not a curated record.